UUAAAUUGAAGAGUUUGAUCAUGGCUCAGAUUGAACGCUGGCGGCAGGCCUAACACAUGCAAGUCGAACGGUAACAGGAAGCAGCUUGCUGCUUUGCUGACGAGUGGCGGACGGGUGAGUAAUGUCUGGGAAACUGCCUGAUGGAGGGGGAUAACUACUGGAAACGGUGGCUAAUACCGCAUAACGUCGCAAGACCAAAGAGGGGGACCUUCGGGCCUCUUGCCAUCAGAUGUGCCCAGAUGGGAUUAGCUUGUUGGUGAGGUAACGGCUCACCAAGGCGACGAUCCCUAGCUGGUCUGAGAGGAUGACCAGCCACACUGGAACUGAGACACGGUCCAGACUCCUACGGGAGGCAGCAGUGGGGAAUAUUGCACAAUGGGCGCAAGCCUGAUGCAGCCAUGCCGCGUGUAUGAAGAAGGCCUUCGGGUUGUAAAGUACUUUCAGCGGGGAGGAAGGUGUUGUGGUUAAUAACCGCAGCAAUUGACGUUACCCGCAGAAGAAGCACCGGCUAACUCCGUGCCAGCAGCCGCGGUAAUACGGAGGGUGCAAGCGUUAAUCGGAAUUACUGGGCGUAAAGCGCACGCAGGCGGUCUGUCAAGUCGGAUGUGAAAUCCCCGGGCUCAACCUGGGAACUGCAUUCGAAACUGGCAGGCUUGAGUCUUGUAGAGGGGGGUAGAAUUCCAGGUGUAGCGGUGAAAUGCGUAGAGAUCUGGAGGAAUACCGGUGGCGAAGGCGGCCCCCUGGACAAAGACUGACGCUCAGGUGCGAAAGCGUGGGGAGCAAACAGGAUUAGAUACCCUGGUAGUCCACGCCGUAAACGAUGUCUACUUGGAGGUUGUGCCCUUGAGGCGUGGCUUCCGGAGCUAACGCGUUAAGUAGACCGCCUGGGGAGUACGGCCGCAAGGUUAAAACUCAAAUGAAUUGACGGGGGCCCGCACAAGCGGUGGAGCAUGUGGUUUAAUUCGAUGCAACGCGAAGAACCUUACCUGGUCUUGACAUCCACGGAAGAAUUCAGAGAUGGAUUUGUGCCUUCGGGAACCGUGAGACAGGUGCUGCAUGGCUGUCGUCAGCUCGUGUUGUGAAAUGUUGGGUUAAGUCCCGCAACGAGCGCAACCCUUAUCCUUUGUUGCCAGCGAUUAGGUCGGGAACUCAAAGGAGACUGCCAGUGAUAAACUGGAGGAAGGUGGGGAUGACGUCAAGUCAUCAUGGCCCUUACGACCAGGGCUACACACGUGCUACAAUGGCGCAUACAAAGAGAAGCGACCUCGCGAGAGCAAGCGGACCUCAUAAAGUGCGUCGUAGUCCGGAUUGGAGUCUGCAACUCGACUCCAUGAAGUCGGAAUCGCUAGUAAUCGUGGAUCAGAAUGCCACGGUGAAUACGUUCCCGGGCCUUGUACACACCGCCCGUCACACCAUGGGAGUGGGUUGCAAAAGAAGUAGGUAGCUUAACCUUCGGGAGGGCGCUUACCACUUUGUGAUUCAUGACUGGGGUGAAGUCGUAACAAGGUAACCGUAGGGGAACCUGCGGUUGGAUCACCUCCUUACCUUAAAGAAGC
RNAcentral lists this ribosomal RNA (1556 nucleotides) under Salmonella enterica subsp. enterica. RNAcentral describes it as "bacterial SSU rRNA". It matches the Rfam family "Bacterial small subunit ribosomal RNA". The record is from RNAcentral. Lineage: Bacteria; Pseudomonadati; Pseudomonadota; Gammaproteobacteria; Enterobacterales; Enterobacteriaceae.